RNAcentral lists this ribosomal RNA (407 nucleotides) under uncultured bacterium. RNAcentral's name for it is "partial 16S ribosomal RNA". It matches the Rfam family "Bacterial small subunit ribosomal RNA", at positions 29 to 526 of the family's 1533-position model. The record is from RNAcentral.
AGCGAACGCUGGCGGCAGGCCUAACACAUGCAAGUCGAACGGAGUGGCGGACGGGUGAGUAACACGUGGGAACGUGCCCUUUGGUUCGGAACAACUCAGGGAAACUUGAGCUAAUACCGGAUGCCAUUGGAGCGGCCCGCGUGUGAUUAGCUAGUUGGUGAGGUAAAGGCGCACCAAGGCGAAGAUCAUUAGCUGGUCUGCGAGGAUGGUCAGCCACAUUGGGACUGGGACACGGCCCAAACUCCUACGGGAGGCAGGAGUGGGGAAUCUUGCGCAAGGGGCGAAAGCCUGACGCAGACAUGCCGAGUGAAUGAUGAAGGUCUUAGGAUUGUAAAAGUCUUUCACCGGGGAAGCGGAACCCGGAGAAGAAGCCCCGGCUAACUUCGUGCCAGCAGCCGCGGUAAUUC